Non-coding RNA from Oryctolagus cuniculus (rabbit), 6422 nucleotides. The record is from RefSeq and is a predicted model, not a curated record. Lineage: Eukaryota; Metazoa; Chordata; Mammalia; Lagomorpha; Leporidae.
UCAGAUGUUUUGGCCAUUUGAGGAGUAAACCAGUGAAUGGAAGAUCUCUCUUUUUCUCUGUAACUCUGAUUUCCAAUAAAAUAAAUAAAUCUUUAAAAAAUUCAUAUCAUCAGGAAAAUGUAAACAAGCUUUCUGAAUUUUGAUAUCUGAUCCUUUGACGUUACAGGAGCAAUCUUUGUUUUUCUGCAUUGCAGAUGAUAACCAACCUGUUCCCUAUGUUCUACCGUCUCCUCCCAUGAUACUGAAGUUAUCUGAUAACCAUAAGGAAGCAACACAUACAUCAGGAUGUCAGGCUGCACUGUACCAAGGCAAAGCCUGUUUCUUUUAGCUGUGUCUUGGUCUUCAACACAGGUCCCUCUGUGUAGAAGAUGCUGUGUAAUACAACAGGGAACUAGGUUUCAGAAUUUAAUGCAGGAGAAAUUUUUUUUUUCACAAACAAACCCUUGAAGAUUCUCCAUUAUUUAAGUCAUAUGUCUGCAUAUGUGGAUAGGUACAUAGUGUGGAGCUUUCCUGGAAUGAAAAAAGGAAAGAGAUACUUGUCUUCUGAACAAGAUGGGCAGGGAGAGAGCCCGAUGACCCCUGGUGCUUAAACAGUAAGGCAGGGGAGACUUGAGCAAGAGCCAUGAGGUAUGAAACUCUCAUCCUUAACCAUUUCAUUGAGAAAAUUUACUCUAGUUUAUUUCUUUUGAGUGUCACAAUUUACAUUUUUAAUUUGUUUUAUAUUGGAUUCAAUUGUGCUGUAGACAUGCUGGAAAUUGAUGAUAUAAAACAUACUACAAACUAAUUCUUAUUUGUAUUAAUACAUCAAUGAUGAUUUGGAAAAUAUGUCAAUUAAUAAACAUAGAUGAAUACAAUUUUAGAUUUUCCUAAACCAGUUCUGUUUACCAAAAUAAAAUUUUCAAUUGAUUUAAAAAUCAAAUGUCAUUCAUUCCUAAGGUUUUCCAUUUCACUCCUAUAUGGUGAACUUAAAAAUAAUCACAGAUCCUUAAGACUGUGGUUCCAUUUGAUUAUUGCUUAGAGCCCUUCCCUAAAUUCCUGCUGAACUAUGGUCUUUUUACUUUUUACUGGCUGAACUCUAUUUCAUGGAGUGUUGAGCUUUUGUCUAUAAUGUAAAUUAAACAUAUAUUCUCUCAAAAAUCAAAAAAUAAAGGAAGAAGAAAGAAAGAGUAAAGGAGAGAAGGAGGAAGAAGGGGAAGGAAAAUAUCACUAUAUUCUUAGAAUUAAUUCUGUGAACUACUUUGAAUCUGUUCUCUUUGUAUCCAUAUUGCCUUAAUAUGAGAAUUGUGUUAUAGUAAGCAUCAUGCAUUUGCUGUGAUCCUGAGAAUUUAAGGUAUUCAUAAAUUCCUUGAAAAAAGAUUUUCUAGGCAAUAUGUGUUUGUGCAAACACCUGGCAAAAUUUUAGAUGUCCCAUGUGGUAGUUGUGGAUGAAAUUCACUGGACUUGGUCGUCUAAGCAUGGAUGUUUGCCAAAGCUUUGAUACAAGUGCUUACUCCCAAGAGCAGCCAUCUUGCAUCUUCCAUUACCUAAAAUGCAUCCUGACAUUCCAGCCUUGAGAUCAGAAGCAACAGCCACCCAGAAAAUGCCGCUAUUUUUGUCUUUCACCUUUCUUUUAAUAUUUAUUCAUGGAGGCAAUUUUUCCCUCUCAUAACUGAAAAUCCAUGCAGAUCCAUGUAUUUUCACCUCUGGGAAAAAUUAUAAUGAUUUUAAGAUUCAAAUAUAGCUAUAAUUCUAUAAUUAAAGGUUACUGCUACCAUAUAAUAAACUUUUAACUUGAGUUAAAUUUAAAUUCUUGCCCUGCUGAGACCUUCUACAGAUAGAAAAUUGAAGAAGGGGACUUGCUUCUGUUUCUCUCUUUCCAAGCCUUUGUUUCCAACCUUCUUCUCCCAUUUUACUGAGUCUCUCAACUCCAUAAAAGCUACGGUCUGUGGGCUGGCUGAGAGAGCAGAGCAGAACUGUCCUUGUAUUCUGGAUUUCACUGAUGUUUUUCUGGUGUCUAUGUUGGUUUUCAGAAGGUCUCACCGUUGUUAGGGACCUAUGAUGUCUAUUUCCUUCAUUCAUAUGUUGCUGAAUAUUUCUCGGUGGUUCACAGUUUAUGAUUGCUUAUAGUCCUUGGAAUUUUGUGAUUUUCUUACAGGCUCUCUUGUUGGAGUCCUUUUGCCCUUGUGUUCCAAAUAUGGACUCAAAUUCUCUGUGGCUCCUUUCAUCAAGAUGCAGAACCCAGUUACCUAUCACAUGAAUCUGACUUGGCCUUGUGGCUUGCUCUGAUGUAAUACAAAAGUGCUGGAAUUGUGUUAUGAAUACCAGGAUUCUGUCCAAUCAUGUGAAGAAGACAAAAAUGAAAGAAACUUGGAUAUACAGGGAGGCAUCCCAACUACUUCAGUCAGUGAAUGAAGACAUUUUAUGCUGUUCUGUCCCAUCCAAGUUGCCAGUUGACUGAGCAACACUCAAGAAUGAGCUCAAGUGUGGGUGUCAUAAGAACUGCCCAGUAAGUCCAAAGACCUGAGAGAAAAUAGGCUGUUCUUUUAAGCCACAUUUUUAUAUCAAAGAUUUACCUUACUGGCUGACUUUAUUGGUUAGCACUCAAGAACUCCAUGGCCCUGUGUGAUCCACAAGACUACUCACGCCUGCUUUAUUCUAAAAAACUAUGUGUGUGCAGCUGAUUUCUAUGCAGUUUCCAGAGGGGGAAGUUUUCCCUUUCUGUUUUUGGUUCCUUAGGCUGGACCCUGGCACAAACCCAUAUCCUUCCAAGGAUUGAGGCAUGCCUGAGUCUCCCUGGAGUUCUUGUGGAAACUUCCAUAGAUAGAUUUGAGGGAAUAUUGCCCCAUGUCUACCUCUUCAUUUUCAAAGAAUCCCUCUCAAAUUUUCUUUUGUUCCCAUGUAGAUAAAGGAUAUAAUAUUGCAUAUGCGACUUUUAGCUGCUGGUCUACAAUCCCUCAUAUGCAAUUCUUUAAGGAAAUAGAACAGAAUGAACAGAAUAUAUAUAUGUAUAGCAAUCAUAUAAUAAUUAUGCAUACAUAUAUAAUUAUUUGGCAACAAUGUCAUGAGACAGACAUAAAAUGAGGCGUUUUGUAGCCUUUAGAAAUCUUUAAUUGUCCCACUUCCUAGGAAUAUGUAUGCAUGCAUUUUGUUGGAGAAUCUCAAUAUAUAACAUUUACCAGUGGCAUAUAAUAUGUGGAAUAAAAAUUGGAAUUAUUAAAUACCUAUUUCCCAAAAAUAUACCAGAAAAAGGACUCUACAGCUCUUUAAUGGACCCUUUUACUUUUAUUUAUUUUUUUUAAGUUUUUUAUUCAAGUUAUACAAGUUUCAUGUAUUUCAUAUAUACAGAUUUAGAAACACAGUGAUAUUUCCCACUUUACCCUUCCUCCUGCCAAUUUCCAACCAUUCUUUCUCCUUCCUCUCCCAUUCCCACUACAAAUUUUUACAAAGAUAUAUUUUCAGUUGACUUAUUGAUUGUAAAGUAAAUGCUACACUAACUAAAUGAGUUCAACAAAUAGUAUGAAGAAAAAAAAAACAUAUUCCUCAACAGAAGAGACAAGGGUUGCAAACACUCAAUGACUCUCAAAAUGUCCAAUUCACUCCAGUACAUUACAUUUUAGAUACUCAUUUAGUUACCUCAGAUCAGUGAAAACAUGUGGUGUCUUUUGGGAAUUGCUUAUUUCACUAAAUGUAAUGAUUUCCAUUUGCAUCCAUUUUGUUGUAAAACAUAGAAUUUCAUAUCUUUUUAGAGUUGAGUAGUACUCCAUAGUGUAUAUAUAUCAUACUUUCCUUAUGCAUUCAGCAAUUGCUGGACAUUUGGGUUGAUUCCAUAUCUUAGUUAUUGUGAAUUGUGCUGCAGUGAACAUAGGGGUACAGAUAACUCUUUCAGAUGCUGAUUUCUUUUGGUUUGUGUUAAUUUCCAGGAGUAAGAUGGCUGGGUCAUAUGGUAGAUCUAUUUUCAGAUUUCUGAGGAAUCUCCAUACUGUCUUUCAUAAUGGUUGUGCUAUCUUACAUUCCCACCAGCAGUGCAUUAAGGUACAUUCUACCCCCAUCCUUGCCAGCAUGUAUUUCUUUUUGAUUUUUGGAUGUUAGCCAUUCUAACUGGGGUGACAUGAUGCUUCAUUGUGGUUUUGAUUUUUCAUUUCUCUGAGCAUUUUUUCAAGAGUCUAUUGGCCAUUUGAAUUUCCUCACUUGAAAACUUUCUGUUCAAGUCCUUCACCCAUUUCUUACUGGAUUGUAUUUUUAUUGUUGAAUUUAUAGAGCUCUUUAUACAAUCUGGAUAUUAACCCUUUCUAAGUCUCAUAGUUUGCAGAUGUUCUCUAAUAAUUUUAUGGUAUCAGAUCAUAGAUUCAGGUCCUUGAUCCAUUUUGCAUGCAUUUUUUGUGUAGAUGAAGGUAGGGAGCUAGUUUCACACGUUAGCAUGUAGAGAUCCAAUUGUCCCAGCACCAUUUGUUGAAGAGACUGUCCUUGCUCCAGGGAUUGAUUUUAGCUCCCUUGUCAAAGAUAAGUUGGCUAUAGAUGCAUAGAUUGAUUUCUAUAGUUUCUAUUCUGCUCCAUCAGUAUAAGCAUCUGUUUUUGUGCCAGUACCAGGCUGUUUUGAGUAUAACUGUCCUGCAGUAUGUCUUGAAAUCAGGUAUUGGAUGCUUCUGGCUUUGUUUUUGUUGUGUAAGAUUGCUUUAGCUAUUCAGGGUCUCUUGUAUUUCCCUAAGAAUUUUAGCAUCACUUUUUAUUGAUCUGAGAAGAAUGUCAUUGGUUAUUUUGAUUGCUAUUGCAUUGAAUCUGUAAAUUGUUUUCAGUAGUAUGGACAUUUUGACGUUAUUGAUUCUUCCAGUACAGGAACAUGGAAGAUUUUUCCAUUUUUGUGUCUUCUAUUUCUUUAAUGUUUUUCAAUUUUCUUCAUAGAGAUCUUUAACAUUCUUGGAUAAAUUUUUUCCAAGUAUCUAAUUUUUUUGUACUAUUGUGGAUGUGCUUGAUCUUAAAAAUUCUUUCUCAGACGUGGUAUUGUCUUUAUAUACAAAAGCUAUUGAUUUUGGUGAGUUGAUUCUAUAUCCUGCCACUUUACCAAAUUCUUUAAUGAGUGCUAAUAGUCUCUCAGUGGAAUCUUUUGGAUCUGCUGUAUAUAGAUUCAUGUCAUCUGCCAAUAGGGAUAAUUUGACUUCCUCCUUUCCAAUUUGUAUCCCUUUGAUUUCUUUUUCUUGCCUAAUGGCUCUGGCUAAAACUUCCAGGAUUAUAUUAAAUAACAAUGGUGAGAGUGGUCAUCUUUGUCUGGUUUCAGAUCUUAGGAAGAAUACUUCCAGGUUUUCCCUAUUCAAUAGGAUGCUGGUUGUGGGUUUGUCAUAAAUUGUCUUGAUUUUGUUGAAGAAUGUCCCUUCUGUGCCUAAUUUGCUUAAGGUAUUUAUCAUGAAAGAAUGUUGCAUUUUAUGAAAUGCUUUCUUUGCAUCUAUCAAGAUGAAUAAUCAUAUGCAUAUGCAAAAACCAUAUGGUUUUUGUUCUUCAGUAUGUUAAUGUGAUGUAUCACAUUUAUUGAUUGUGAAUGUUGAACCAUCCCUUCAUACCAGGGAUAAAUCCCACUUGGUCUGGGUGAAUAAUCUUUCUGAUGUGUUGUGGGAUUUAAUUAGCUACUAUUUUGUUGAAGAGUUUUGAAUCUAUGCUCAGCAGGGAUAUUGAACUAUAGUUUUCUUUCUCUGUUUUAUCUUUUUCUGGUUUUUAAAAUUAAGGUGAUGCUGGCCUCAUAGAAAGAGUUUGAGAGGAUUCUCUUUCAAUUAUUUUGAAUAGCUUGAGAAGGAUUGGAACUAGUUCUUUAAAUGUUUGCUAAAAUUCAGCAGUGAAGAUGUCCAGUCCUGGACUUUUCUUUUUUGGGAAGGUCUUUAUUACUGAUUCAACAUCCAACUUGGUUAUUGUUCUGUUUAGGUUAUCUAUGUCUUAAUGGCUCAAUUUAUGUAGGUUGUUUGUAUCCAGGAAUCUUUCCCUUUCUUCUAGGUUUCCCAGUUUGUUGGCAUACAGCUCUUGGAAGUAAUUCCUGAUGAUUCUUUUUAUUUCUGUGAUAUCUGUUGUUUCAUUUCCUUUUUAAUCUCUGAUUUUAUUGAGUCGGGUCUUCUCACCCCCACCUUGUUUAUCUAGUUGGGCCAAUGGUGUACCAAUUUUGACUAUUAUGUAUUGUGGUGAAUAUCUUUUCUGGUCAUGCCUGUUAAGAGUUCCAUGUGCUUCCUGUAGUUGGAUGUCCUUUUCUAUCUCUAAAUUGGAAAUGUUUUCUGUAAUUAUUUCACUACCUAAGCCUUCUAAUCCAUUCUCUCUUUAUAGACCCUCAAGAACUUCCAAGACCCAUAUGUUGGGUCAGUUAAUAGUAUCCCAUAAAUCCUCAACACUGAGUUUAAGUUUUCUAAUUUCUUCUUUGUGUGUGUGUGUGUGUGUGUGUGUGUGUGUGUUUGGUCUGACUGAAAGAUUUC